This 104-nucleotide ribosomal RNA is filed under the name Orchidantha maxillarioides. RNAcentral's name for it is "4.5S ribosomal RNA". The record is from RNAcentral. Lineage: Eukaryota; Viridiplantae; Streptophyta; Magnoliopsida; Zingiberales; Lowiaceae.
UAAGGUCACGGCGAGACGAUCCGUUUAUCAUUACGAUAGGUGUUAAGUGGAAGUGCAGUAAUGUAUGCAGCUGAGGCAUACUAACAGACCCGAAGGAUUUGAAC